AUGUUGUUCUGUCAUUUUAAAGAAUAUGGUUCUGUUGAGUGUUGGAUGUAUUUUUCCUGCGACAGGAUACAUAUUUCUUUCCUCUGUUUUUCCAGAGACUUAAUAUGGUUCUGGCCAUGUUUUCCUGACUACAAAUCAGGUGCACAGACUGACAAGGAGAGGAACAACAAAAAGUUGCUUCCCUGGAGUCACAAAAGUGAGCCUGGAGGACCUGGAGCAUUAGUUCUCAAAGUGUGUUCCUCGGACCAACAACAGCAGCAUCUCCUGGGAAUUUGCUAGGAAUGCAGUUUCUGGGACUCUGUUCCACAUUUGAAUCAGAAGCUCCAAAGGGAUUUUGGAUAAAAGAGUUUAUUAGCUGAGUUCACUGGCUUGUCUCCGCAAAGCCUGAAACUAUACUUCAAACUCAGCCAAGGCCCUUCCUUUGAGAGUGUGCCAGCUACGGAAGCCAGACAAGCAGGUGCAAACUGUUUGUUCCAGCCAGCCUUCCUGCUCAAGAACAUCCCACCAGGGCCAGCAAGACACUCACGACAGCAGAAAACACUAGCGAGUGCCCAUCCUUGUAGUCCAUACGCAAUUCCACAGUCCAGUUUCCACACACCUAAAAUCCAAAAGGCUCUGAAAAACAAGUUUUUGCUGUGCUUACAAAUCUUUAGCAAUCUCAGUUG
This 665-nucleotide long non-coding RNA is filed under the name Capra hircus (goat). RNAcentral describes it as "lncRNA (ENSCHIG00010001057.1)". The record is from RNAcentral. Lineage: Eukaryota; Metazoa; Chordata; Mammalia; Artiodactyla; Bovidae.